Molecule: long non-coding RNA, 1925 nt
Filed under: Gallus gallus (chicken)
Lineage: Eukaryota; Metazoa; Chordata; Aves; Galliformes; Phasianidae
Source: RNAcentral
GCAAGCAUUUGACUGUAUAAGAAGGGAUACUCAUCUCAGUUGUAUUAAUGUAAAGAUAGUAGCAGGCAACAGAAGAUAAUUUCAUACAUUUUAUCAUUUGGUCAUUUUGAGUGCUUUCACCUCUACUUUCUUGCUGAAGCUGUGCUGCUAUUUACCUAUAGUUAAAAAGUUACAGAACAAAAGUAUAGGCCCAAGUUAUCUGCUUCUUCUAUACAACUGGCUCAACAGGACUUUGCAUCUCUCUUGGUUGUCAUAUGUCUAAACCACCCAUCCAAACUCCUGGAAUUGAAACUCUGGCAUCCUUAUUAAGCAGUUCUAAUUCACCUACCGAUGGAAUUUUUCCUGUAAAGUGUGAUGCAUCUAUACAGUGUAAGACCAUGACUCCUCGAUCUUUUUCUCAUGGCAGAGGAAAGUUUCCCAUUAGAAUGCAACUCCGAUGGACUGGAUAGCUGUGUGCCCACCCUUGAAGCUGUAAGCAUCCUGGACACCCAUUCCAGAAGGAUGUUUUUGUCAGAUGGAGAUUCCACUUUAGGAAAAUAUUAAAACAAAGAUUUCAAAGGGGCUUCAGAAAAUGCUUAAAGGCCGUAGACCAAAUGCUGUUUUGCUGUCUGAAGAGAUCUCAGCAAAGGGGCAGUAGUUAAAGAGGAACGAUUACAUUGUAAAAAGCCAUAAAACCUUCCAGGAUUCAGAGUCUCAGGGGAAAGCAGAAAGGAACCCAAGACGAAGUCACACAUUGUGGAUCCAUAGAGCCCGACAUCACUAGACUGUGUUGCCAAGAUGGCAUGGCUCAGGCAUCACUACUGGAAGUGCUGGCACUUACCUCUGGGAAAUCAGUGGGACUCACUGUGGAGCAAAGCAUUGUCAGCAAGUGCUGCUUCACAGAUCUGCCUGUUUGAGUUAUAGAAGGAUGCCAGGACCACGCUGUCCUUCAUUACGUGAUGGAGACUCGGUUGCUCUUACAGAAACUCUGAAUCCUGCUGGCUGCUGUAAAGAAAUGAGAAGGAAGUUUCAGUCUUCCAGUUGGAGAGGAGUGACACAGAUGUUUAAGACGCAAGCAGCUUAGAUGUAACACAUUGUAAUAAAGUGUUGCCGUGCUAGGCAAAUGUAUGAGAAUGAUGAAUUCAGUAGUACGCGAGAAGAGGUCAGAUGCUGCAUUGAGUAUCUUCCGUGAGCGAGGAAAUGCUGAACUUCAGCUCAGUAUAUCACUGCUGAAGCUGUGCCCGGCCAUGGGAGAUGACAAGCAGUUGCUACCAGCCAAGCUUUAAAUUAGGAGAGAAGAACCUUUUUCAUUACAUUCCAAAGAAUUGUGAAAGAUGUGGAAAUCACUGCUUGGAAAACUGUACUUCUACAGGGAGCUGAGUGAAGUCCUACUGAUUCUCACUGCAAUGAAGUACUCAGGACACUUUUUUUGAGCCCACCACUACAGUCAUCACAAAGACAACACUUAGUCCAAGAAGAUUCUAGGCCUUCUUCAGAAGGUGCUGCUAAUUCCCCUAUUUUCUUCCAGAAAUGGGAAAAAUGAUCUAUAUUAGGAAAUGCGUUCUUCCUUUCUUCAUAUUUUGAAUUACGGCGCUAGGAAAAUAUUUCUCAAGUGGUUAACUUGAGUUUGACUUCCAACAUCUCUUUAUUUGGGAAGAAAUGAAUUCAAUGGUUCUUUUUAGCACUUGUGAAAAUGAAGGAUAGUUGUGCCUGCACUACAAGAAAGGUGAUUUAGUCGCUCUACUUGAUCAGUACUUUUUGAGGGAGACUUGCCAAAUUCAUCGGUGCUGAUCUGGAAGCCAAAAUAGAUAUCCAUGUGUUUUGAAGAGCGGAAAUGCUGGAACGCAGCUGGAAAGCGGCUCAGGGCUCCUGCCAGUCAUACCGGCUCACCACUAAGAGGGCACAGAUCUCAUGACUGCUAUCCUGAGAAACCUGCUGUCUGCCAG